UACGAAGGGGGCUAGCGUUGCUCGGAAUGACUGGGCGUAAAGGGCGCGUAGGCGGCGAUCACAGUCAGAUGUGAAAUUCCUGGGCUUAACCUGGGGGCUGCAUUUGAUACGUGGUUGCUUGAGUGGGGAAGAGGGUCGUGGAAUUCCCAGUGUAGAGGUGAAAUUCGUAGAUAUUGGGAAGAACACCGGUGGCGAAGGCGGCUCACUGGCUCGUAACUGACGCUCAUGCACGACAGCGUGGGGAUCAAACAGG
RNAcentral lists this ribosomal RNA (253 nucleotides) under uncultured bacterium. RNAcentral's name for it is "partial 16S ribosomal RNA". It matches the Rfam family "Bacterial small subunit ribosomal RNA", at positions 524 to 776 of the family's 1533-position model. The record is from RNAcentral.